CAGUAUAAUGACAAGGCAAAGUUCGGGGACCUCAAAUUUGAGUUCAAGUUGGUGUAAUCCCGAUACCAGAGGGUCCUCCUCAAUUUGAGAGCAGCCAGUUGGGUCAAGCACCAAGAUGAAGAGGAAGUACAACCCAAUUAGGUGCAUGUUUUGUGGUGAAGUUGGACACAACAAGAGAAGCUGUGCAAAGAAGAAAAAGGAGGAUGCUGAGGAACAAGCUAGGCAAAUGCAACUUCAGCUUGUCCUUGCUAAAGGGCCUGCUUCCCCUACAGAUGAGCCAAACACCAACAAUGAAGUUCAAUCAC
Non-coding RNA from Arachis ipaensis, 305 nucleotides. Lineage: Eukaryota; Viridiplantae; Streptophyta; Magnoliopsida; Fabales; Fabaceae. The record is from RefSeq and is a predicted model, not a curated record.